Molecule: ribosomal RNA, 267 nt
Filed under: uncultured bacterium
Lineage: Bacteria
Description: partial 16S ribosomal RNA
Rfam family: Bacterial small subunit ribosomal RNA
Source: RNAcentral
CGACCGGCGCACGGGUGAGUAACACGUAUGCAACCUGCCCUCCGCAGGGGGAUAACCCGGAGAAAUCCGGACUAAUACCGCGUGGUACACCAGUGGGGCAUCCCACUGGUGUUAAAAGGAAGUGAUUCCGGCGGAGGAUGGGCAUGCGGCGCAUUAGCUUGUUGGCGGGGUAACGGCCCACCAAGGCGACGAUGCGUAGGGGUUCUGAGAGGAAGGUCCCCCACACUGGUACUGAGACACGGACCAGACUCCUACGGAAGGCAGCAG